Delphinapterus leucas (beluga whale) is the source of this 2228-nucleotide long non-coding RNA. RefSeq lists it as uncharacterized. Lineage: Eukaryota; Metazoa; Chordata; Mammalia; Artiodactyla; Monodontidae. The record is from RefSeq and is a predicted model, not a curated record.
AGAACCAAAAUUUCAUCAGAAUGUAACUAGCUGAGAAAAUUCUUCCUUGAUUUUGCCAAGAAUGUGGUCAACUGGAUGAUGUUUUCAGGGCAAGAGCUUAAUGUACCACAGACUAAAGCCGCAGGGGCAGCUGGGCACACAUGGGCAGACGCCUGAGUCUCUGGACAGCUGGCCGGGGCCUUCCUGUCACAUUUUCCCAAGUCCACGGUCGCAGGCAGCAGCUGGAACUCGGAGGGAAAAAAAAAAAAUCCUUUCCUACACUUUGAGAAUUGGAUUGCUUUAAAAGAAGAAGAAGGAAAAGGAGAAGAGGAAGAAGGGGAGGAGGAAGGGGAAGAAAGAAAAGAAAUCACUCAGGCGCUGAUCCAAGCUGGGUCCUCAGGUGGUCCCCUCACUAGCGGCCUUGGCCUUACCCAGAAACGUGUUAGAACCGAGGUAUCUCAGCCACAGCCCCCCACCCCCCACCCCCUGCUCAGCAUCUACAUUUUAACGAGAUGCACAGGGGAUGUGUGUGCACAUGGCAGUUUGAGAAGUGCUGCUCUAAGGUACAGAUGAGGUUCUAGGUCGAGAAAGUUCAAGUCUGUGUUUCUCCACCUUAGCUUAGAAUCACCUGGGAGCUUCAAAAAAAUACUGAUGACUGGACCCCACUCAUCCCCAGAAUAAUUAAAACAGAGCCUCUGGGGGCGGGGCCCUGGCCUGGGUUUAUUUCAAAAGUGCCCCAGGUGCUCUCAGUGGGUAGCCCAGGCUCAGCGCUGGAAGUCAGUGAUGCGCGCAGUUGCUGGGCUGUCUAUCCCCACCAGGCCGGCCACCCGUGGCUCAUCUGUGGGAAGCAGGCCUGAGCACAUCCCCAAGGUGGCCUAGGACAGGAGCAGAAAAACAUGACCAGUGCCUGGGGUGGAGAGUGGAUAACUCCCUACAAACCCAGCUUGGAGGCCUAUCCAGUCCCUGAGAGAAAAUGUAAUGAAAGGACUCCAUCAUCUAAAUCUCUUUUCAUCAAAGAGAUGCCCUAUUUCUGUGGCAUUUCUGCAUGAAAUGCUCCAGCGUUGCAAAGCAAGAAUGUUCAAAUUCGCUUCUGUCGGACGUUGAAUAGGUCACAUCCUGCAACACUUCCCUGGAAUGUGGCUUGAGAAUUUAAUCGAGUUGGAAAGCACGGUCACCAGGUAAGCAACCAGACACACUUCCUAGCUUUGUAACCGAGAGACAAAAUAAAAUAAGGCUGACAGAAGGUGCGCAUGUUUGAAAUACUUUCUCGCAAGCCCAUCACCACCGCCAAAUGUUAGCCUCUUGAAGCAUAAAUUAAUUUUCCACAGACGCACGCCGGGCUGCGCCUGGAUUCUGCUCUGGUGAGCAGUACGUGUUAGACUUCUGGACAACAGCUUCAAGGAUGACAUUUCUCCAACUUGCUGUGAUUCUUAUCCUUGAGCAGAAUGUUUUUCUUGGAAUGGGUUUCCAGGAGGGUUUUGGACCCAGUUCCGGUCACAUGUGCAGGUGGGAGGCACGCUCUUGACCCUGAGACGUGGGCCUGGUCAGCAUGUGACCCCUGCCAUCCCCGAGGGCUCACCUGGUACUGCUGCCCGGUGCAGAGGACAAGGUGGUCGUAGAGCACGACUUCUUCUCUGGAAACAAUGACCUGCUUAGCUGCUCGGUCUAUGGCAGUCAUUUUACCAACCACCACGUUGACCCAGGAGCACAGCGACAUCAACGCGUGAUCUUUGUCAUUAUAACAGUGGCUGCGGAGAGAGAGGCUCCAUCAGUGACAUUUGAGCAGCUGACAGCGGGCAUUAAUUAGACAUCUGCUGAGCUGGUUCAAGUCCCCUGGUUGGCCGAGCCUGUGCUCUUGCUGGGAGUUUACCGGGACCCAGGCUAGCCAGGAGAUUUGUCCUUAUGAGACACUUAGCUGCAAAUUGACAUCUUCCCAUUAAAGCUAAAUUGUUCUGCCUGGAGUAGACCAGUCCACAACAGGGAGGGGGUGUGUGUGUGUGUGUGUGCGUGUAAUCAUUCAUAUAUACUCUUGCUUCCAUUUCAUAGCGGGUGUAAAUUUACCUUAGCGGUUGAUCUGUCAUAUUGACAACUGUCAUAUUGACCACAGACUCAGAGCGAAUGAGCAUGAAGAAAGUGACAUCUGAGGAUUCCCACAGGCAGGGGUCAAGGUCCAGAACAUCAAGAACCCUGUCUAUUUGCUAAGGCUUUUCAAUAAAUGAUUCAUUCUUAGAAUUAGUGUAUGGAUUCAU